Molecule: ribosomal RNA, 1483 nt
Filed under: uncultured prokaryote
Description: partial 16S ribosomal RNA
Rfam family: Bacterial small subunit ribosomal RNA
Source: RNAcentral
GAAUGAACGCUGGCGGCGUGCUUAACACAUGCAAGUCGAACGAGAAAGCGAACUUCGGUUCGUGAGUAGAGUGGCGCACGGGUGAGUAAUACGUGGGUAAUCUACCCUUGAGUUUGGGAUAACAUCGCGAAAGUGGUGCUAAUACCGGAUAAUAUCUAGAUGUCUUCGGGUGUUUAGAUCAAAGAUGGCCUCUUCUUGAAAGCUAUCGUUUGAGGAUGAGCCCACGCACCAUUAGCUAGUUGGUAGGGUAAAGGCCUACCAAGGCUACGAUGGUUAGCUGGUCUGAGAGGAUGAUCAGCCACACUGGAACUGACACACGGUCCAGACUCCUACGGGAGGCAGCAGUGAGGAAUUUUGCGCAAUGGGGGAAACCCUGACGCAGCAACGCCGCGUGAGUGAUGAAGGCCCUUGGGUCGUAAAGCUCUGUCAAUGGGAAAGAAAUUACGUGGUAUUAAUAGUACCUUGUAUUGACGGUACCCAUGAAGGAAGCACCGGCUAACUCCGUGCCAGCAGCCGCGGUAAUACGGGGGGUGCAAGCGUUAUUCGGAAUUAUUGGGCGUAAAGGGAGCGCAGGCGGUCCUGCAGGUCAGAUGUGAAAGCCCGGGGCUUAACCCCGGAAGUGCAUUUGAAACCGCAAGACUUGAGUAUGGGAGAGGGUAGUGGAAUUCCUGGUGUAGAGGUGAAAUUCGUAGAUAUCAGGAGGAACACCGGUGGCGAAGGCGACUACCUGGACCAAUACUGACGCUGAGGCUCGAAGGCGUGGGGAGCAAACAGGAUUAGAUACCCUGGUAGUCCACGCAGUAAACGUUGUUCACUAGGUGUAGCGGGUAUUGACCCCUGCUGUGCCGCAGUUAACGCAUUAAGUGAACCGCCUGGGGAGUACGGUCGCAAGACUAAAACUCAAAGAAAUUGACGGGGGCCCGCACAAGCGGUGGAGCAUGUGGUUUAAUUCGACGCAACGCGCAGAACCUUACCUGGGCUUGACAUCCUGAGAAUUUCUACGAAAGUAGAGAGUGCCCUUCGGGGAAUUCAGUGACAGGUGCUGCAUGGCUGUCGUCACCUCGUGUCGUGAGAUUUUGGGUUAAGUCCCGCAACGAGCGCAACCCCUAUCUUUAGUUACCAUCAUUCAGUUGGGGACCUCUGGAGAUACUGCCCCGGUUAACGGGGAGGAAGGUGGGGAUGACGUCAAGUCCUCAUGGCCCUUAUGCCCAGGGCUACACACGUGCUACAAUGGGAUGUACAGAGGGUUGCCAAGCCGCGAGGUGGAUCCAAUCCCAGAAAACAUUCCUCAGUUCGGAUUGUAGUCUGCAACUCCACUACAUGAAGCUGGAAUCGCUAGUAAUCGCGGAUGAGCACGCCGCGGUGAAUACGUUCCCGGGCCUUGUACACACCGCCCGUCACACCAUGAGAGUUGAUUGUACCAGAAGUUGUUGGGCUGACCGUUUCGGGACAGGCACCUAUGGUAUGAUUGAUGAUUGGGGUG